UUUUCUUUGUUUUGCUUUGCAUUGCAUGCAUGAUGAUGAACAUAUAUAUACACACAUUGAAUAUAUUAACUAAAGCUUACAAGAAAUGGAGUUGAUGGCCCUGGAAUCUAAUUCCCUAUCAAUUUAUGGACAGAGUACGACCUUAGGCUGAAUUUCAUACUCAAAAGCUGUCGCGUACAGAUUUAAUUAUAAUUGGAAAGGAAGUAAAUUUGCA
Molecule: long non-coding RNA, 214 nt
Filed under: Gossypium barbadense (sea-island cotton)
Lineage: Eukaryota; Viridiplantae; Streptophyta; Magnoliopsida; Malvales; Malvaceae
Description: long non-coding RNA (GBAR_LNC003699)
Source: RNAcentral